This 3334-nucleotide long non-coding RNA is filed under the name Heterocephalus glaber (naked mole-rat). RNAcentral's name for it is "lncRNA (ENSHGLG00000042012.1)". The record is from RNAcentral. Lineage: Eukaryota; Metazoa; Chordata; Mammalia; Rodentia; Bathyergidae.
GUUGGGAAAUAAUGCUGUUUUUUUAUUCCUUAGCAUUUAGAGUUUAAAUAUAAUGACUUUAGUAAUAAUCCUACUAAUAACUAUAUGUGUCUUGGUAAGAUAUACUAUUUUUUCCACAGUAUUGACCAUUUAAUCAUUGAAGGUGUUAUGUGAAGAGAAUAUGAUGACUCUGAGAAUGUUGCUGGUACUGAAGUUUUGAUGGGAUCCAAAGAGUGUUAACGGUUCCCUAAUGAUGAAAGUGGACCAAGGCAAGUGAUAAGGAAGGAUAGAUAACACCCUUGACUAACACUGAGAAACCAUGAAAUUAGAACUGUGACACUGGAACUUGUGUUCUCAAGUCUUUUGCUCUCCCAUCAAGCUCUUUCCAAGUGCACAGAGAUGAGCUGCUGUUACAUUUCUCAUUAAAGAUGUUGUUUCCAGACAUCAAGGUAAUUAAUGAUACUGUUGAAAUUCUUCUACUGAAAUUGUUUUUGGUAUGUGUGCAGAUGAAAUAAUGGCCAGCUUAAGUGGGAAUGCUCAGCUUAACUGAGGGUGAUUCUGCAUGUGGGUGACCCACCUAAGGAUUGUUGCCAGAACUGCAUAAAAGGAGGAUAGGAGGGGAGGAAUGCUGGCUGCUGAUUUCCCAGGAGAAGCUUUGUUGGAACUGGAACUCAGUGGCUUUUCUUGCUGUUGCUCCCUCAGUGGGUGGGUGGGGGGGGGUGCUGGUCUUUGCCUUUGUCUUGAGCAUCACUCCCUGGUUCCAGUGCAGAUCCCUCAGUGUUCUGGCACAGAUUGUUCACCCUGCCGGCAUAGACUUUUGAGCUUCUACCACUGGCCCUUGGGCCUUUUGGUGCAGAUUCUUGAUAUGAACUUGCAUGAGACAUUGCUGAGGGCUGUAGGCCUCUGGCUGGACUCAUGUGGAAUAUUAUGUGGAAAGAUCUAUUGCACUUUUCUGGGUUUGACUUUUUGGGAGAAUAUUGUAAGACAGUCCUAUAAAUUUGUAUAUCCUGUGGUAAAUCUGUUUCCUUGGAAACACCGACUAGAACAGUAUGUUUAUAGGUAAAAAAUAAAUUUGUAACAGUAAACAUGGAUUUUUCUUUAUUUGCAGGUAUAGACAUGCAAUAAGAUGUGCACCAAACACUGGGAUUUUUAGAUUUCUGUCAAGACCUUAUAGUAACCCUUUCAACUGUUGGUCAGCACACCAUGUAGGUAGGUGGUUUCAUGUAGGUUCUGAUGUAGGCCCAAACCACAGCACAGCUUGGCAAUCUUACUGGUUUUACCUUCUCAAGUAUUCUUAAAGAUGUAUUUUCUAAAGCCUUUGCAGAUUUCUAUCAUGAGAUCACAGUUAAUCUAACAUCAGCCUUUAAUGGCAGACAUUGCUGUUAUGCAAACAAGUGCUGAUGUAGACCAAAACUAAAGCACAGACCACCUGAUCUUCAGAUCACAUGAGGCAAGUGGUUAUGGUUUCCCUACCACUUGCCAUCAUGAUUUCUUUGCCAGUAUUCAGGUGAGGAAUAAUAACAUCCUUAGGAACACUUGAAACCAUGCAGUUUCUUUUCUGUAUUUCAGAGAGAAUGUGUAACCCUGUAAGGAGGUUGCACAUAUCCAAGUAUUUAUCACAUAGUCCCAACUAUAGUAAUCAUAGGAACUAGGCAGAUAUUCCACGAAGAAAUGUUGUCUUAUCUGACAUUAUCCUUGACCUUGGAGAACCACAAGAAUCCAGGUAGAGUCCUGUGAUCAUGGAUGUAAUAGAAGCUAUUCAACAGUUCCUGGUAGGUUGUGUCUUGAUUCCUGUCAAGGGUUAACAGUGAACUUAAAAAGUUCAUUAUCAGGAGAUAUUUCUGUAUUAGAGUAAAUAUUUUCAUGUACAGCACAUGCCAGACCGACCAUUAGAUCAUCAAAUAUCUGGGUCAGUGAUGUUUGUUUCCCUACAAUUUUUAUCAUAUGAUUAAAAAAAUGUAAGUAUGUAGAUAAGGAAUGCAGUAUUUCAUAUUCUAGAAACCAUAUUAUUGCAUUAUCUUACAUUUAGAGAGAAUUUACCCUGGGAAUUUCAAAUGACUUUCAUGUACUCAGGUUAUUAUUAUGCAUUUAUGCAUCAUGGUAGUUAACAAGUUAAAUAUUAGCAGUCAUGAGAUAAUGAGGUUUGGAACAAUGAUGUUCAUCAUAAAAUAAUCAAGAAUACAAGUAGAGUUGAUGAGUCCAGGUAGAAAUGAAAUCUUGCAAUAAUGACAAUAAAGAAAGUUAUUUGAAGGGUCCCAGUAGAAAAGUCUUACCAUACAUAUACUUGUCACCCAUGUUUUUACAUUUCCAUGCAGAUACGGUGGUAAGUCUCAUGAUGACCAACAGUGGCAGUUUGUUGUAUCCAUGGCCAUGAUGAUCAAGAGGGAUAUUGUAGCCAGCCAAGAGAAAAUGGUGUGAAGAACAACAUCUCUGACCUUGAAGUUCUAAAGAUCUAAGUACUUCAGUUGGUUUCCCUGAUGAUGGAGUUCCUCUGAAGACACUGUGAUUAUCCUACCCAUGGGAGUGAGUAAAGUCCAUAGAGGGUUAUGAGAUGCCCUUCAAGAGAACACAGUGAUCCAGAAAAGAUGGUUGUUGCAGUCACCCUAGUAACAAGGGACAGUCAUGUCACAGUGAGCAGCACAGUAUAAUCAGGUGGAUGCAUACAGACAUCCAGGUUCCUUCAAGGGAAGAUGAGCAGACUAUGGCUGGAACUGCAUGCAGGUGUCAGUGAGGGAGUCCACAGCUCAUGGUGAGCCCUGAACAUCACCAGGAUCUGUAUAAGGACAGCCAUGGACCUUCACUGCAGCAUAGGCAGGGAAUAUCCAUGGCCUUCACUAAGUGAUAUUGGGGUCCCUGAUGUGGAGUCGUGGGGUAGUGGGGUUGCUGUGACUUUGCUUUAGGUUCUGGAGCCCAGGAGAGCAAUGAAGGAAGAACUGAGCCAAUCCACUGACCCUGAAUUUUUCCUUCGUGUAUAGUGAAGUAAAAUGAAUGUUGAUCUUCUCUACAUCCUUGGAGUGCUUAUUCUUUGGUCCAGUGGUGUUGUGAUGGACCACCCUGCCCAGGAGAAAGCACAGAAUUCUUUGCAGGUCAGUAGUUGAUGAUAAUGAGUCUCAGGAUGAGAGUUUUGCACUCAAAUUGCUUCUGGUAUCAGAGUGAAGAGAAAGCCUUUGUGCCAGUGGUGAUGCCAGAGCACAGCCCAGUGUUCUUGCAGAGCAAAGGAUAAGGUUUUAGCAGGGUGUGGUUUGCCUUCCUUUCAGAUAUCUGCAGUGAUGAAAAAAUGUUUGUUGUGGUGAGAUUGCUGAUGAUAGAUGAGACCUCUGUGCAUGUAGCCUGGCUACAGGGCAUGAUAUUCCUU